RNAcentral lists this ribosomal RNA (460 nucleotides) under uncultured bacterium. Its description in RNAcentral is "partial 16S ribosomal RNA". It matches the Rfam family "Bacterial small subunit ribosomal RNA", at positions 338 to 795 of the family's 1533-position model. The record is from RNAcentral.
CCUACGGGAGGCAGCAGUGAGGAAUAUUGGUCAAUGGACGCAAGUCUGAACCAGCCAUGCCGCGUGCAGGAAGACGGCUCUAUGAGUUGUAAACUGCUUUUGUACGAGGGUAAACGCAGAUACGCGUAUCUGUCUGAAAGUAUCGUACGAAUAAGGAUCGGCUAACUCCGUGCCAGCAGCCGCGGUAAUACGGAGGAUUCAAGCGUUAUCCGGAUUUAUUGGGUUUAAAGGGUGCGUAGGCGGUCGGAUAAGUUAGAGGUGAAAUCCCGAGGCUCAACUUCGGAAUUGCCUCUGAUACUGUUCGGCUAGAGAGGAGUUGCGGUAGGCGGAAUGUAUGGUGUAGCGGUGAAAUGCUUAGAGAUCAUACAGAACACCGAUUGCGAAGGCAGCUUACCAAGCUACUUCUGACGUUGAGGCACGAAAGCGUGGGGAGCGAACAGGAUUAGAUACCCCUGUAGUC